RNAcentral lists this ribosomal RNA (253 nucleotides) under uncultured bacterium. RNAcentral describes it as "partial 16S ribosomal RNA". It matches the Rfam family "Bacterial small subunit ribosomal RNA", at positions 524 to 776 of the family's 1533-position model. The record is from RNAcentral.
UACGGGGGGAGCAAGCGUUGUUCGGAAUCACUGGGCGUAAAGGGCGCGUAGGCGGCCGAUCAAGUCGGGGGUGAAAGCCUGUGGCUCAACCACAGAAUUGCCUUCGAUACUGUUUGGCUUGAGACCGGAAGAGGUUAGUGGAACUGCGAGUGUAGAGGUGAAAUUCGUAGAUAUUCGCAAGAACACCAGUGGCGAAGGCGGCUGACUGGUCCGGUUCUGACGCUGAGGCGCGAAAGCGUGGGGAGCAAACAGG